ACGGCUCAGUAACACGUGGACAACCUACCCUCAGCACGGGGNUAAACCCGGGAAACUGGGUAUAAUACCCGAUAGUUCUGGAUUGCUGGAAUGCAUUCAGGACGAAAGCUCCGGCGACUGAGGAUGGGUCUGCGGCCUAUCAGGUAGUAGUGGGUGUAAUGUACCUACUAGCCAACAACGGGUACGGGUUGUGAGAGCAAGAGCCCGGAGAUGGAUUCUGAGACAUGAAUCCAGGCCCUACGGGGCGCAGCAGGCGCGAAAACUUUACAAUGCGGGAAACCGUGAUAAGGGGACACCGAGUGCCAGCAUCAUAUGCUGGCUGUCCAGGUGUGUAAAAUACACCUGUCAGCAAGGGCCGGGCAAGACCGGUGCCAGCCGCCGCGGUAACACCGGCGGCCCGAGUGGUGAUCGUGAUUAUUGGGUCUAAAGGGUCCGUAGCCGGUUUGGUCAGUCCUCCGGGAAAUCUGACGGCUCAACCGUUAGGCUUUCGGGGGAUACUGCCAGGCUUGGAACCGGGAGAGGUAAGAGGUACUACAGGGGUAGGAGUGAAAUCUUGUAAUCCCUGUGGGACCACCUGUGGCGAAGGCGUCUUACCAGAACGGGUUCGACGGUGAGGGACGAAAGCUGGGGGCACGAACCGGAUUAGAUACCCGGGUAGUCCCAGCCGUAAACGAUGCUCGCUAGGUGUCAGGCAUGGCGCGACCGUGUCUGGUGCCGCAGGGAAGCCGUGAAGCGAGCCACCUGGGAAGUACGGCCGCAAGGCUGAAACUUAAAGGAAUUGGCGGGGGAGCAC
Molecule: ribosomal RNA, 793 nt
Filed under: uncultured Methanosarcina sp.
Lineage: Archaea; Methanobacteriati; Methanobacteriota; Methanomicrobia; Methanosarcinales; Methanosarcinaceae
Description: bacterial SSU rRNA
Rfam family: Archaeal small subunit ribosomal RNA
Source: RNAcentral